AUGUGUUCGGUUGCUGUCACCAGAUGGAAUGGCAUGGGUCCGUCCCGUCCCGAGAGCCCAUUCUCACGUUCGGUUAGUAGAUGGAACCAGAACCCACCAGUCCUAGAAAAGGGAAUAUUCGGUCUAUAUGCGGAACCGACGCAUACCUCCGAUUCGAGCGGACGACAAGGAAUGCGCAUCUCUCCCCUCGCACCCGAGCCCUAUCCUAUCCCAUCUCUCCUUCCCAGCGCCGCCACCCUCCCGCAUCUCUCCCUCCCUCUCGAUCUGCCACGCCCCCGCUCCUCUCUCAGCGCCGCCCCUCACGCACCUCUCCGGCGCCGGCUUCCCUCUUCUCUGCGAUGGCGCGCAUCAAGGGCUUGGCCGCGACCUAGCAGCAGAGGCGACCUAGCAGGCAGCGGCGGCAGCGACCUACCAGGCGGCAGCGGCGGCGGCGACCUAGCAGGGCGGCGACCUAGCAGGCUGCAUCGACGAACCAGCAGGGCCAACAUAGGCAAGAUGGUCAAGAUGAGCAAAAGAAAAAGGAUGGCUAGGGGAGCAGCUGUUUUUGUUGCAUUAGCUGCAAUGGCAGUCAUUGUUCGGGCUAUAAUAAGGAAGAGAAGACCACGUAUUACCUAUGGCCCAAUGCAUGAAAGAGAUCGAAUCAGAUUUGAUUAUCUAAACCAAAAAAUUUGGCAAAGCGAUGUGUUAUGCAAAAACAUGCUAAGGUUUGAAAGAGCUGCAUUCUUUCGUUUGUGUGGUAUAUUGAGGGAUCACGAUUUGCUAGAAGACAGUCCACAUCUUAGUGUGGAGCAACAAUUGGCAAUGUUUUUGCAUACAAUUGGGCAUAACCUUCGGAAUAGAGUUGUUUCAGCCAAUUUUGGUAGAUCAUACGGCACAACAAGCAUCUAUUUUAGAAAGGCUCUUCAUGCCAUAGGCGAGCUUCGUAAUGAUUAUAUAAGGCCACCAUCAUUGGAAACCCCCGCAAAAAUUGCAGGAAAUCAUCGAUUUGACUCAUAUUUUAAGGAUUGUAUUGGAGCUAUCGAUGGUACACAUGUGCGAGCAGGUGUUACCAAAGAUGUGGAGCCUUCUUUUCGUAGUAGGAAAGCCUUUACCACUCAAAAUGUGAUGGCAGCAGUAGAUUUUGACCUCCGCUUCACAUAUGUUUUGGCUGGAUGGGAAGGGUCCGCACACGACGCGACCGUCUUAGCUGAUGCGUUAACUUGUGAGAGAGGCUUACAAGUACCACCUGGAAAGUACUACCUAGUUGAUGCCGGUUAUGGAGCCAAGCCAGGGUUCUUGCCACCUUUUCGUGGCGUGAGGUACCAUUUGAAUGAGUGGGGCAACAAUCCGGUCCAGAAUGAUAAGGAGCUAUUCAACCUUAGGCACUCAUCUCUACGGGUGACGGUAGAGAGGGCUUUUGGAUCUCUCAAGAGGUUUCAAAAUUUUAGAUGA
RNAcentral lists this ribosomal RNA (1431 nucleotides) under Triticum aestivum (bread wheat). RNAcentral describes it as "partial small subunit ribosomal RNA". Lineage: Eukaryota; Viridiplantae; Streptophyta; Magnoliopsida; Poales; Poaceae. The record is from RNAcentral.